AUUCCAGCUCCAAUAGCGUAUACUAAAGUUGUUGCAGUUAAAAAGCUCGUAGUUGAAUUUCUGGUCGUGGCGAUCGGUCCGCCCCUCACGGGGUGUGCACCUGGUCUCUACGUCCAUCCUCGGGGAGAGCGCGUCUGGCAUUCAGUUGUCGGGCGCGGGAUCCUCGUCAUUUACUGUGAGCAAAAUAGAGUGUUCAAAGCAGGCUUAGGCCGUUGAAUACAUUAGCAUGGAAUAAUAAGAUAGGACCUUGGUCUAUUUUGUUGGUUUGCAUUCCAAGGUAAUGAUUAAUAGGGAUAGUUGGGGGUAUUCGUAUUCAAUUGUCAGAGGUGAAAUUCUUGGAUUUAUGGAAGACGAACUACUGCGAAAGCAUUUACCAAGGAUGUUUUCAUUA
This 391-nucleotide ribosomal RNA is filed under the name Chrysophyceae sp. RNAcentral describes it as "partial small subunit ribosomal RNA". It matches the Rfam family "Eukaryotic small subunit ribosomal RNA", at positions 582 to 975 of the family's 1831-position model. The record is from RNAcentral. Lineage: Eukaryota; Chrysophyceae.